GAUGAAGAACGUAGCGAAAUGCGAUAAGUAGUGUGAAUUGCAGAAUUCAGUGAAUCAUCGAAUCUUUGAACGCACAUUGCGCCCCAUGGUAUUCCGUGGGGCGUGCCUGUUCGAGCGUCAUUUACCCCCUCAAGCUCCGCUUGGUGUUGGGCGUCUGUCCCGCUUCGCGCGCGGACUCGCCCCAAAGGUAUUGGCAGCGGUCGUGCCAGCUUCUCGCGCAGCACAUUGCGCUUCUCGAGGCACCGGUGGGCCCGCGUCCAUCAAGCUCACCCCCCCAGUUUGACCUCGGAUCAGGUAGGGAUACCCGCUGAACUUAAGCAUAUCAUAAGCGGAGGA
This 336-nucleotide unclassified non-coding RNA is filed under the name soil metagenome. RNAcentral describes it as "partial contains 5.8S ribosomal RNA, internal transcribed spacer 2, and large subunit ribosomal RNA". The stretch from base 1 to 120 matches the Rfam family "5.8S ribosomal RNA", at positions 35 to 154 of the family's 154-position model. The record is from RNAcentral.